UGUAGGACUGCUGCUGCUGCUGACACUCUUCAUCGCCGGACUCUUCAUCUGGAAAAUACGGAACAAUAACGGAUUCAGACCUGCAAAGACUUCAGAAUUGUCAGAGCUGUCGGACAACACUUCAGCUCCUAACUGAUCACAGUGAG
Plectropomus leopardus (leopard coralgrouper) is the source of this 146-nucleotide non-coding RNA. NCBI's taxonomy places the organism in Eukaryota, Metazoa, Chordata, Actinopteri, Perciformes, Serranidae. The record is from RefSeq and is a predicted model, not a curated record.